This 334-nucleotide unclassified non-coding RNA is filed under the name soil metagenome. RNAcentral describes it as "partial contains 5.8S ribosomal RNA, internal transcribed spacer 2, and large subunit ribosomal RNA". The stretch from base 1 to 120 matches the Rfam family "5.8S ribosomal RNA", at positions 35 to 154 of the family's 154-position model. The record is from RNAcentral.
GAUGAAGAACGUAGCGAAAUGCGAUAAGUAGUGUGAAUUGCAGAAUUCAGUGAAUCAUCGAAUCUUUGAACGCACAUUGCGCCCUAUGGUAUUCCGUAGGGCAUGCCUGUUCGAGCGUCAUUCAAACCUUCAAGCUCUGCUUGGUGUUGGGCGUCUGUCCUGCCUCACGGCGCGGACUCGCCUCAAAUCUAUUGGCGGCCGGCACGUUGGCUUCGAGCGCAGCAGAAACGCGAACUCGAGACCGGCGGAUCGGCUCCCAGAAGCUACCCCCAUGAAUUUGACCUCGGAUCAGGUAGGGAUACCCGCUGAACUUAAGCAUAUAAUAAGCGGAGGA